Molecule: long non-coding RNA, 353 nt
Filed under: Eucalyptus grandis
Lineage: Eukaryota; Viridiplantae; Streptophyta; Magnoliopsida; Myrtales; Myrtaceae
Description: long non-coding RNA (EGRA_LNC007397)
Source: RNAcentral
AAAAUGUGGUGAUCAAAUUGGAAGAUAAAAGUGGAAAUUGAAUCAUGCAUGGUGUGGUGAUAUGUAUGUAUGGCUGUAUGAUAUGAUGAUGAUGAGUGCAUGGUUUUAUGUGCACCUAUGGCAUGAUAUAUAUAUAUGACAUGAUGAUGAUGAGUGCAUGGUUGCAUGUGAACCUAUGGUAUGAUAUAUGUAUGAUAUGAUGGUGAUGAGUACAUGAGGAUAUAUGUACAUAUGGCAUGAUGGCAUAUGCAUGGCUGCAAGGUAAGUUAUGCUUGGAUGCAUGGAUGACAUGUACUAUGCUAUGAUGUGUGAUUGUAUUGUGUGAUGCAUUGAGUGGUUUAUUAGAUAUUUUA